This 1078-nucleotide long non-coding RNA is filed under the name Vigna radiata. RNAcentral's name for it is "long non-coding RNA (VRAD_LNC017629)". The record is from RNAcentral. Lineage: Eukaryota; Viridiplantae; Streptophyta; Magnoliopsida; Fabales; Fabaceae.
GUUGGUUGGUUGAUGAAAAUGGAAAUCUAUGUGAGUUUUGGGUUGAAGAGAGCUUAAGGUGUUGUGUGGGUGUUGUGGGUUUGGCUCUUUCCUUCCAUAUUUCGGUUUAGAUGUUUGAAACCAGUUUGGAACCAUAGUUUGAUGUGUUAUUGUGACUAGACAGUGUUGGAGUUGAAGGGUAAGUUAUUAUUUUCGUUUUUGCACAAGAGCUUGAAGAAAUGGAAGAUUGGGUUGAGUUGAAGUAGUAGUAGUGUGGGUUUAUUGUCUUGAAUGGAGUUGCAACUUGAAAUGGGGUCUCUUGGGUGUGUGUUUUCGGUGUGAGGAACAAGAAANAGCUAGAGGUGUGUGCUGGUUGUGGAAUUUCCAAGUGGGAGUUAGAAAGGAGGAGAGAUGGGUACUAUUAAUUUUUUACCAUUUUCGGGCAAACAAAGAAAGAUGCUCUUUGUCAUUAUAGAAAGCUUUCCACUUGUAGCUUAGCUUUUGGUUGAUUAUGUUGAGGAGGGUCUUAAGCAUUGAGGUUUUUGGAGUUUGUUUUCUUUUGGUUUAGCUUACUUGGCACGUUGGUAGGAGCACCCAUGUUUACAUUCAUUUACCCUUUGGUUUGGAAGCAAUUUUCUUUGUAGCAUGCACAUGAGCUCACGACAAUUUGCUCUUGGAAUGGGAUGUCCGAAUUUGCUGCAUGAAAGGAGUCAGGGCACGGUUUCAAAUGGGUUGCUUUAAGUAUAUUUUAAUUCCUUUGGNGAAAUGGUGCACAUGGGGACAAAAAGACAACAAAUUGGAUGGUUUCUUGAAGAGUACAAAUUGAAGUGGACUUGGUGGAGUGUGGUGCACGGCCAUGAGGUUCUUUUUGGCCAAUUAGACUUUUAAAAUUAAUUGUUAAUUGUCAUUUAGUCAAAUUAAUUGUUAGGAUUAAAUUAAGCUUGUUGGUUCCCUUGGUUUUAAAUUAAUUUAGUUAAUAGGUUGAGUUUAUGUGUUUAAUAGUGUUAGUUUAAUUAUCAUGCUAGCUUAAAUUAGUUGUUUGCAUCUGUGUCUUUAUUGAGUUGUUUAAUUUUUGUAAAACCUUUUCAAACCGUCCCUC